This is a long non-coding RNA of Ornithorhynchus anatinus (platypus), 746 nucleotides long. RefSeq lists it as uncharacterized. The transcript is spliced from 3 exons. Lineage: Eukaryota; Metazoa; Chordata; Mammalia; Monotremata; Ornithorhynchidae. The record is from RefSeq and is a predicted model, not a curated record.
GGAAGAGGGAGCAGAUAGUUCCAUAGUCUUAUUCCUUUUUUCCCUUAUUACUUUUCAUUCCUCGUUUGCUUCCCUUAUUAUAGUUUUGUAAUCCUCCUUGGAGGGUUCCACCCCACGCUUUUCUGGCGCAGAAUAAUUUUCAGACUCUCAGGGCUCCAAUUCUAUGGAUUAAACUCAACACGUUGAAUCACAUCAGGUUUCGGCAGCCUGAUUAAGCCAGACUCUUCAAUAAGGUUUUAUAGGUACAAAUCUCGGAAUGGAUCAGGACCAAGUAAUCGCUGCUGGAGAAACUGAAUUUUGCAUAAUUUACAACCAGAUUUGCCGAGGAACUUUUCUCAAUGGGCCGGGAGCAACUUCCCCUUCCUGAGGUGAUCUGCAGUCCAAAAACAAUUUCCCAAGGCGGUCAAUGAAGGGUCUCUGGUUCGGACAUAGAAGAGAGAAGAACAAGGAGGAAAAAAAAGCAUCGGAGGAGCAUGAAUAAAGAAGACAAAACCUCUCAGAGGAGUAACGUUUGCCGCAGAAAAGCUCAGCGAUCCAAAUGAGUCAAUACGAAUCCCGCAAGGUCGAAAUUACCUACGGACAUUGCCGGGUGAAGAUAAUACUGCUACAAAGUGAGCUGUUGCCUAGAAGAAUCCUCCGAAGAAGGACAGGGAAAUGCCCCCAAGUUCCACAAGUGAAGAAAUCGAGGCACAGAGGAGGUCAGUAACGUUUUGAAAGUCAAGACAUGAAUGGCAGAGUUGACAGAA